RNAcentral lists this ribosomal RNA (474 nucleotides) under uncultured soil bacterium. RNAcentral describes it as "bacterial SSU rRNA". It matches the Rfam family "Bacterial small subunit ribosomal RNA", at positions 26 to 518 of the family's 1533-position model. The record is from RNAcentral.
AGGACGAACGCUGGCGGCGUGCUUAACACAUGCAAGUCGAGCGGUAAGGCCUUUCGGGGUACACGAGCGGCGAACGGGUGAGUAACACGUGGGUGAUCUGCCCUGCACUUCGGGAUAAGCCUGGGAAACUGGGUCUAAUACCGGAUAUGACCUCCUAUCGCAUGGUGGGUGGUGGAAAGAUUUAUCGGUGCAGGAUGGGCCCGCGGCCUAUCAGCUUGUUGGUGGGGUAAUGGCCUACCAAGGCGACGACGGGUAGCCGACCUGAGAGGGUGACCGGCCACACUGGGACUGAGACACGGCCCAGACUCCUACGGGAGGCAGCAGUGGGGAAUAUUGCACAAUGGGCGAAAGCCUGAUGCAGCGACGCCGCGUGAGGAUGACGGCCUUCGGGUUGUAAACCUCUUUCAGUCAGGGACGAAGCGACAAGUGACGGUACCUGCAGAAGAAGCACCGGCUAACUCGUGCCACAGCCGC